This 3108-nucleotide small RNA is filed under the name Pan troglodytes (chimpanzee). RNAcentral's name for it is "retained intron". The stretch from base 954 to 1014 matches the Rfam family "mir-1898 microRNA precursor family". The record is from RNAcentral. Lineage: Eukaryota; Metazoa; Chordata; Mammalia; Primates; Hominidae.
UUCAGAUUUCGUUUUGGUGGGUAGGGUUUAUAUUUCCAGAAAUUGUUUUAUUAUAUUACUAAAUUAAUAAGUUAACCUUUUGUUCCUCAUAUUGGAUUAUGUAAAUUUAUUGAAAAUAACUCCGUGGAUAUAUUAAAAUGCCAACAAGCUCUCAAAUGGCUCAUGUGACACUGAUGCUACCUUAAGGAAGUGUCUUGCUCACCUGGUCAAACACCCAUUCCUCACUGCAUUUUGCCAAUUCAAUCCAUUUUAGAUGUAACCUCGGGUAUGGUGAAAGACCCACCGGACGUCUUGGACAGGCAAAAAUGCCUUGACGCUCUGGCUGCUCUACGCCACGCUAAGUGGUUCCAGGUUCGGAACAUCAUUUUACUUUUUUCUUGUAGCCUUAUGAGAGAGUAGUUCAGUACAACAUGUUUAACUGUGCUUAAACAUUUCAAAAGACUGCCCAAGCAAUACUAUUUUAAAUUAAAUAUCAGAAAAUAUGUUAACAUAGAAAGCUGGGUAUGAUGAUCUGCAUAUUGCAGUUAUUAAUUUGACAAUGAACUUAGGUUUGGGGAGUGUUUUGUAGUUGGGGUUUUUUUAUUUUUUAUUUUUAGUGGCUAUAUUUAAAGUUGACUUGUUUAGGAACAUCACAUGUUUGUGUAUAUAUAUUAUAUUCCAUAAGGCUGCAGAUUAACUUUGCUUUAAAUAAUGGAAUAUGUGUUUAAAGCUUUGUGUAUAGUUUUAAGAUUUUUUUCCCCCUCUUUCUCUAAGUUAAUAAGUGUAGGGAGUGAAAGGUGAGGAAGCAGCUGUUUGGUUUAGUGACUUUGCAGUCAUGCAAAGGCACAGAAGGGAAACCAAACAGAUUUCCUUAACCUUUCAGUCCCUAGACAAACUUUUUAGCUCUUUACUUUUUCUUUUAUUUCUAAUAUAGGCAGACUUUUUUUUUUAAGUUUACUGUUUUAAAUGAACACAGGUCAAGGUUCACAGGGGAUCAAGAAAUAUUAUUCUUGUAUAAUCUGUUUACUUUGACCUAAAUACCAGCUUUUAAAUACUAACCCUGGCAUAAAAUACUGCUGUAAAUGGCAGCUCAUUGAAUCCAAUUUUAAGUGUGAUUGUUUUUGUUUUUAUCUGAGCUUCCAUUGAACGGUGGUAUUUUAACUUUUUUUCAUCAAGGGAUAUAUUCAGUAUUUCUAAGAUUAAUUCAAUUGGUUUUUGUGUUGCUCUCAAGGCUAGAGCUAAUGGUCUGCAGUCCUGUGUGAUUAUCAUACGCAUUCUUCGAGACCUCUGUCAGCGAGUUCCAACUUGGUCUGAUUUUCCAAGCUGGGCUAUGGAGUUACUAGUAGAGAAAGCAAUCAGCAGUGCUUCUAGCCCUCAGAGCCCUGGGGAUGCACUGAGAAGAGUUUUUGAAUGCAUUUCUUCAGGGAUUAUUCUUAAAGGUAGUCCUGGACUUCUGGAUCCUUGUGAAAAGGAUCCCUUUGAUACCUUGGCAACAAUGACUGACCAGCAGCGUGAAGACAUCACAUCCAGUGCACAGUUUGCAUUGAGACUCCUUGCAUUCCGCCAGAUACACAAAGUUCUAGGCAUGGAUCCAUUACCGCAAAUGAGCCAACGUUUUAACAUCCACAACAACAGGAAACGAAGAAGAGACAGUGAUGGAGUUGAUGGAUUUGAAGCUGAGGGGAAAAAAGACAAAAAAGAUUAUGAUAACUUUUAAAAAGUGUCUGUAAAUCUUCAGUGUUAAAAAAACAGAUGCCCAUUUCUUGGCUGUUUUUCAUUCAUAAUAAUGUCUACAUUGAAAAAUGUAUCAAGAAUUUAAAGGAUUUCAUGGAAGAACCAAGUUUUUCUAUGACAUUAAAAAAUGUACAAUGUUAGGUAUUAUUUGAAUGGAAAGACACCCAAAAAAAAAAAAAAUGUGCUCCGACUAGGGGGAAAACAGUAGUUCCGAUUUUUUCCCAUUAUUUUUAUUUUAUUUUCUGGUUGCCCUAGCUUCCCCCCCUCUUUUUGUGUCUUUUAUUAACUAGUGCAUUGUCUUAUUAAAUCUUCACUGUAUUUAAUGCAGGAUUUGUGCUUCAGUUGCUCUGUGUAUUUUGAUAUUUUAAUUUAGAGGUUUUGUUUGCUUUUUGACACUAGUUGUAAGUUACUUUGUUAUAGAUGAUAUCCUUUACCCCUUCUUAAUAUUUUACAGCAGUACGUUUUUUUGUAACGUGAGACUGCAGAGUUUGUUUUUCUAUAUGUGAAGGAUUACAACACAAAAAGUUAUCCUGCCAUUCGAGUGCUCAGAACUGAAUGUUUCUGCAGAUCUUGUGGCAUUUGUCUCUAGUGUGAUAUAUAAAGGUGUAAUUAAGACAGAGUUCUGUUAAUCUAAUCAAGUUUGCUGUUAGUUGUGCAUUAGCAGUAUAAAAGCUAAUAUAUACUAUAUGGUCUUGCAACAGUUUUAAAGCCUCUGCAUAAAUGAUAAUAAAAAUGCAUGACAUUCUUGUUUUUAAUAGACUUUUAAAAUCAUAAUUUUAGGUUUAACACGUAGAUCUUUGUACAGUUGACUUUUUGACAUAGCAAGGCCAAAAAUAACUUUCUGAAUAUUUUUUUCUUGUGUAUAAGUGGAAAGGGCAUUUUUCACAUAUAAGUGGGCUAACCAAUAUUUUCAAAAGAACUUCAUCAUUGUGCAACUAACAACAGUAACUAGCCCUUAAUUAUGGUGACAGUUCCUUAUUGGUGUGUGUGAGAUUACUCUAGCAACUAUUACAGUAUAACACAGAUGAUCUUCUCCACACACCCCAUCACCCAGAUAAUUUACAGUUCUGUUAACAGUGAGGUUGAUAAAGUAUUACUGAUAAAAAAUUAUCUAAGGAAAAAAACAGAAAAUUAUUUGGUGUGGCCAUCUUACAUGCUUAUGUCUCCUACACAAAGCUAAAUAUUCUAGCAGUGAUGUAAUGAAAAAUUACAUCUUACUGUUGAUAUAUGUAUGCUCUGGUACACAGAUGUCAUUUUGUUGUCACAGCACUACAGUGAAAUACACAAAAAAUGAAAUUCAUAUAAUGACUUAAAUGUAUUAUAUGUUAGAAUUGACAACAUAAACUACUUUUGCUUUGAAAUGAUGUAUGCUUCAGUAAAAUCAUAUUCAAAUUU